GCCUGUCAGAGGGGGGCCGUGCCCGCGCUGGAGCGUGCUGGCGGCUGGUGACAUUUAUUUUCUAAAUGCUGGGAUUAAGUUUGGCUUCUUAAUGUCAUAAUAGCAACAGCUCCACAUCUCGCCUGCUCCUGAAGUGCAGGGUUGGUCUGUGCGUUGGGGCUGCUGGCACCUCCAUGGAAAAGGCAGAAUGAGACAGAAGCAACAGGCCUCAACCAGUCUGGGAAAUAAAUAUUCCAUUAAAAUUGGGAAAAAAAAAAAAAAACGGUGAGGAGGGGCUGCAACUGUACACAAAAUGCUCAAAGCUUGGCAACCUAGCGACGGAUAUUGGACAGAAUUCCACCUUUCUCCUCCUCCCCAGUGCCAUCUGCAGGCCUGCAGCAGGGUGUCCAUAAGCAGCACUGCACCUCAUCCAAAGACGCCAAAACCUUCAGAGAAUGAAUCAAGUACACCCUCAGCAAUUUGCUGAUGACACCAAGCUGAGUGGUGCGGUCGACACGGUGGAAGGAAGGGAUGCCAUUCAGAGGGACCUCAACAGACUUGACAGAUUCACCAGUCUUUGCCCUGCAUUGCUGAAGUUCCUCCUUGGAUUGCUGAAGAAUGUAUGGGAUUGCUUGUCUUUGCUGGGGUUCCAUGAAGUCCACGUGGGGUUUGCAAAAUUCUGCACUUAAGUGCACACUGUUUUGCACAGUUUUGCUGGUCUUCGCGGUCUGGAAGUUUUAUUUCUUUACUCAGAACCUGACAGUUUGCGGGUGAAAUCUCGAUUUCUGAUUCAUCUAGAGCUCACCAUAGUGCUGCUGCCACUUCCCCCACCUUGUCAGGGGAUGUCCCUUGAAUUAAAAUACCACCUGUACGUCGAUACAAUUUCA
Long non-coding RNA from Lagopus leucura (white-tailed ptarmigan), 866 nucleotides. RefSeq lists it as uncharacterized. The record is from RefSeq and is a predicted model, not a curated record. The transcript has 3 exons. Lineage: Eukaryota; Metazoa; Chordata; Aves; Galliformes; Phasianidae.